This 800-nucleotide ribosomal RNA is filed under the name uncultured bacterium. Its description in RNAcentral is "bacterial SSU rRNA". It matches the Rfam family "Bacterial small subunit ribosomal RNA", at positions 8 to 821 of the family's 1533-position model. The record is from RNAcentral.
AGAGUUUGAUCCUGGCUCAGGAUGAACGCUGGCGGCGUGCUUAACACAUGCAAGUCGAACGAUGAUCCCAGCUUGCUGGGGGAUUAGUGGCGAACGGGUGAGUAACACGUGAGUAACCUGCCCUUAACUCUGGGAUAAGCCUGGGAAACUGGGUCUAAUACCGGAUAUGACUCCUCAUCGCAUGGUGGGGGGUGGAAAGCUUUAUUGUGGUUUUGGAUGGACUCGCGGCCUAUCAGCUUGUUGGUGAGGUAAUGGCUCACCAAGGCGACGACGGGUAGCCGGCCUGAGAGGGUGACCGGCCACACUGGGACUGAGACACGGCCCAGACUCCUACGGGAGGCAGCAGUGGGGAAUAUUGCACAAUGGGCGAAAGCCUGAUGCAGCGACGCCGCGUGAGGGAUGACGGCCUUCGGGUUGUAAACCUCUUUCAGUAGGGAAGAAGCGAAAGUGACGGUACCUGCAGAAGAAGCGCCGGCUAACCACGUGCCAGCAGCCGCGGUAAUACGUAGGGCGCAAGCGUUAUCCGGAAUUAUUGGGCGUAAAGAGCUCGUAGGCGGUUUGUCGCGUCUGCCGUGAAAGUCCGGGGCUCAACUCCGGAUCUGCGGUGGGUACGGGCAGACUAGAGUGAUGUAGGGGAGACUGGAAUUCCUGGUGUAGCGGUGAAAUGCGCAGAUAUCAGGAGGAACACCGAUGGCGAAGGCAGGUCUCUGGGCAUUAACUGACGCUGAGGAGCGAAAGCAUGGGGAGCGAACAGGAUUAGAUACCCUGGUAGUCCAUGCCGUAAACGUUGGGCACUAGGU